This 429-nucleotide ribosomal RNA is filed under the name Bacillus cereus. RNAcentral's name for it is "bacterial SSU rRNA". It matches the Rfam family "Bacterial small subunit ribosomal RNA", at positions 183 to 596 of the family's 1533-position model. Lineage: Bacteria; Bacillati; Bacillota; Bacilli; Caryophanales; Bacillaceae. The record is from RNAcentral.
GAACCGCAUGGUUCGAAAUUGAAAGGCGGCUUCGGCUGUCACUUAUGGAUGGACCCGCGUCGCAUUAGCUAGUUGGUGAGGUAACGGCUCACCAAGGCAACGAUGCGUAGCCGACCUGAGAGGGUGAUCGGCCACACUGGGACUGAGACACGGCCCAGACUCCUACGGGAGGCAGCAGUAGGGAAUCUUCCGCAAUGGACGAAAGUCUGACGGAGCAACGCCGCGUGAGUGAUGAAGGCUUUCGGGUCGUAAAACUCUGUUGUUAGGGAAGAACAAGUGCUAGUUGAAUAAGCUGGCACCUUGACGGUACCUAACCAGAAAGCCACGGCUAACUACGUGCCAGCAGCCGCGGUAAUACGUAGGUGGCAAGCGUUAUCCGGAAUUAUUGGGCGUAAAGCGCGCGCAAGGUGGUUUCUUAAGUCUGAUGUG